This 81-nucleotide transfer RNA is filed under the name Oenocarpus minor. RNAcentral describes it as "tRNA-Cys". The stretch from base 1 to 71 matches the Rfam family "tRNA". Rfam says of the family: Transfer RNA (tRNA) molecules are approximately 80 nucleotides in length. Their secondary structure includes four short double-helical elements and three loops (D, anti-codon, and T loops). Further hydrogen bonds mediate the characteristic L-shaped molecular structure. tRNAs have two regions of fundamental functional importance: the anti-codon, which is responsible for specific mRNA codon recognition, and the 3' end, to which the tRNAs corresponding amino acid is attached (by aminoacyl-tRNA synthetases). tRNAs cope with the degeneracy of the genetic code in two manners: having more than one tRNA (with a specific anti-codon) for a particular amino acid; and 'wobble' base-pairing, i.e. permitting non-standard base-pairing at the 3rd anti-codon position. Lineage: Eukaryota; Viridiplantae; Streptophyta; Magnoliopsida; Arecales; Arecaceae. The record is from RNAcentral.
GGCGGCUUGGCCAAGUGGUAAGGCGGGGGACUGCAAAUCCUUUAUCCCCAGUUCAAAUCCGGGUGUCGCCUGAUCAACAAA